AGAUUCCAAAUAUGUAAAUUUCAAUUCAGAAAACUAAAAAAAUCCAUGUACGAAUUCACGGUCAAAAUUAAAAGGUUUGACUCUCGAAAUUCGAGUUGUGCCACAUAAAUUGGGACAGAUGGAGUAUUUCUUUUUCUUCUUUUCCGGUCUAACUAGUGCACGCCUUGAUAACACCUUAUAUUCCCACCGAGGCUUAGACAGAUGAGAAGAAAUCAACCAGCUUUAUUAUUUCCCCCUCUAAUGGGAUCCCUAUCACAACUGAACAAAAUAAACCAUUCUCUUUCCAGGUCUCUCAGAAAUCCAGCAUCCCAUUUGAGAUUAUAAUAAAACAGGAACCACAAAAUCCAUUAUUCCCUCCGUCCCAAUUUACAUGGCACCUUUUGGAUUUCGAGAUUCAAACAGAGCUUUUCUUCUUCUUUUUUUCAUAACUAUAUUAAAUUGUCAAUCAUUGUAACUUACAGUACUUUUCACGUAGUUUUCAACACCAACAACAAAUCUAGUGUGAUCCCACUCUGGGGAGGAGGAUUAGGACAUGAAAAGCAAAUAAGUUGGGGGUGGGUGAAUUAAGGGCAUACAGUUUUUUAGCUUGUUCAAGGGCACGAGCAUGACCGAAGUGGAAGAGAUCGUAGAUGCCAUCUGCAUAUACACGUGCCGGUCGAUCUGUUGGCGGUGGAUUUGGUGGGAUCGCUUUUAACCUUCGCUGUGGCUGUGGUGGUGGUGGUGGUGGUGCUUCUUCUAUCUCUAAUUGUGGAUCUUCCCCACCAUUCUCCAUUCCUUCUCUCUCUCUCUGUGUUGUGCUUCCCAAAAGGCAAAUUGUAACGUCUAAAUUGGAAAA
Long non-coding RNA from Lycium ferocissimum, 835 nucleotides. RefSeq lists it as uncharacterized. Lineage: Eukaryota; Viridiplantae; Streptophyta; Magnoliopsida; Solanales; Solanaceae. The transcript has 2 exons. The record is from RefSeq and is a predicted model, not a curated record.